AGUGAUGUGUUUCUCUAGCCAGGGUUACUCCUUCACUCAGGCUGCUCACAUGCCCACUCACUAAGAGAGCUGCUGCUGCGUUUAGUAUCUGUUCGAUUGUUCAGGAAACCAAGAGAAACGAUCUCUUAGAGACUUUUGAAGGCAUG
Molecule: long non-coding RNA, 146 nt
Organism: Telopea speciosissima
Lineage: Eukaryota; Viridiplantae; Streptophyta; Magnoliopsida; Proteales; Proteaceae
Exons: 3
Source: RefSeq, a predicted model, not a curated record